RNAcentral lists this ribosomal RNA (614 nucleotides) under Lactococcus lactis. RNAcentral describes it as "bacterial SSU rRNA". It matches the Rfam family "Bacterial small subunit ribosomal RNA", at positions 73 to 678 of the family's 1533-position model. The record is from RNAcentral. Lineage: Bacteria; Bacillati; Bacillota; Bacilli; Lactobacillales; Streptococcaceae.
ACUUGUACCGACUGGAUGAGCAGCGAACGGGUGAGUAACGCGUGGGGAAUCUGCCUUUGAGCGGGGGACAACAUUUGGAAACGAAUGCUAAUACCGCAUAAAAACUUUAAACACAAGUUUUAAGUUUGAAAGAUGCAAUUGCAUCACUCAAAGAUGAUCCCGCGUUGUAUUAGCUAGUUGGUGAGGUAAAGGCUCACCAAGGCGAUGAUACAUAGCCGACCUGAGAGGGUGAUCGGCCACAUUGGGACUGAGACACGGCCCAAACUCCUACGGGAGGCAGCAGUAGGGAAUCUUCGGCAAUGGACGAAAGUCUGACCGAGCAACGCCGCGUGAGUGAAGAAGGUUUUCGGAUCGUAAAACUCUGUUGGUAGAGAAGAACGUUGGUGAGAGUGGAAAGCUCAUCAAGUGACGGUAACUACCCAGAAAGGGACGGCUAACUACGUGCCAGCAGCCGCGGUAAUACGUAGGUCCCGAGCGUUGUCCGGAUUUAUUGGGCGUAAAGCGAGCGCAGGUGGUUUAUUAAGUCUGGUGUAAAAGGCAGUGGCUCAACCAUUGUAUGCAUUGGAAACUGGUAGACUUGAGUGCAGGAGAGGAGAGUGGAAUUCCAUGUGGUA